AUGGUAGAGCAACGCAAGAUCUCUGCGGCCAUGGUAUCUGAGGAAAGGUCAUUUGUGCUCAAGGUAGAUGAAUACUCAAGAGUCAAGGCGCAACUCAAGAUCGGCGAGAGCCUGACUUCUACCCCUUUCACUGUUGGAGGCCACAAAUGGACCGUGAGAUAUUACCCAAAUGCUGUCUGGGCGUUUAAUGCCGAUUCCAUCUCUCUUUAUCUAUGUCUCGAAUCUGCUGGUGCUGAAGAUGUGAAGGCGAAAUUCACGCUCAGUGUACUUGACAAGAAUGGAGAACCCGUGCCUUCCUACAGCCAUACCAACCCAAUGCGUACCUUCUCUAAAAGUUCAGUCUGGGGCUCCGAACUCGCGAUCAAGAGGGCUGAUCUGGAGAGAUCGGCGUACCUGAGAGAUGAUUGUCUCACCAUCAGGUGUGAUCUCACCGUGGCAAAGGAGAUCAAGAGCCAAGAAACAAGGGUUGCUCCCAGCGACCUGCACCAACAUCUGGGUGACCUCCUCAAGAACAAAGACGCAGCAGACCUAGUCUUUCAGGUUGGUGGAAAGAGAUUCUCCGCUCACAGGUGUGUCCUUGCUGCUAGGUCAUCGGUCUUCAAGGCGGAGCUCCUCGGCGCCAUGAAGGAGAGUUCCGCAGCUCUUCCUAUUGAAAUUCAUGACAUGGAAGCUCAUGUGUUCGAGUCCUUGCUCCACUUCAUAUACACCGACUCUGUCCCUGAGCUUGAGAUGGCUUCCAACAAAGGCGAAACUGGUGUGGUUAUGGCUGGCCAUCUACUGGUAGCAGCUGACAGAUACAACAUCAUCAGGCUGAAGCAGAUAUGUGAGGAGAAAUUGUGCAAUCACAUCGACUCUAACAUGGUGGCAACCAGUUUGGCUUUAGCCGAGCAGCAUGGAUUCCAUCGUCUCAAAGAAGCUUGUUUGCAGUUCCUUGCUUCUCCGUCCAACUUCGAUGCGAUGGUGGCAAGUGAUGGGUAUGAGCAUCUGAAAUCAAGCUGCCCAUCUGUUCUCAAGGAGCUCAUAGCUAGAAUGAUCCCGUCUGAAUUUAAGUCGGCAAAGGAUGUUAUCAUGGCAAUUUAG
RNAcentral lists this ribosomal RNA (1080 nucleotides) under Triticum aestivum (bread wheat). RNAcentral's name for it is "partial small subunit ribosomal RNA". Lineage: Eukaryota; Viridiplantae; Streptophyta; Magnoliopsida; Poales; Poaceae. The record is from RNAcentral.